This 460-nucleotide ribosomal RNA is filed under the name uncultured bacterium. RNAcentral describes it as "partial 16S ribosomal RNA". It matches the Rfam family "Bacterial small subunit ribosomal RNA", at positions 338 to 795 of the family's 1533-position model. The record is from RNAcentral.
CCUACGGGUGGCAGCAGUGAGGAAUAUUGGUCAAUGGACGAGAGUCUGAACCAGCCAAGUAGCGUGAAGGAUGACUGCCCUAUGGGUUGUAAACUUCUUUUAUAUGGGAAUAAAAUGUUCCACGUGUGGGAUUUUGUAUGUACCAUAUGAAUAAGGUUCGGCUAACUCCGUGCCAGCAGCCGCGGUAAUACGGAGGAUCCUAGCGUUAUCCGGAUUUAUUGGGUUUAAAGGGAGCGUAGGUGGAUUGUUAAGUCAGUUGUGAAAGUUUGCGGCUCAACCGUAAAAUUGCAGUUGAAACUGGCAGUCUUGAGUACAGUAGAGGUGGGCGGAAUUCGUGGUGUAGCGGUGAAAUGCUUAGAUAUCACGAAGAACUCCGAUUGCGAAGGCAGUUCACUGGACUGCAACUGACACUGAGGCUCGAAAGUGUGGGUAUCAAACAGGAUUAGAUACCCGGGUAGUC